Molecule: ribosomal RNA, 491 nt
Filed under: uncultured bacterium
Lineage: Bacteria
Description: partial 16S ribosomal RNA
Rfam family: Bacterial small subunit ribosomal RNA
Source: RNAcentral
AGCGAACGCUGGCGGUAGGCCUAACACAUGCAAGUCGAACGGCAGCACAGUAAGAGCUUGCUCUUACGGGUGGCGAGUGGCGGACGGGUGAGGAAUACAUCGGAAUCUGCUUUUUCGUGGGGGAUAACGUAGGGAAACUUACGCUAAUACCGCAUACGACCUACGGGUGAAAGCAGGGGAUCUUCGGACCUUGCGCGAUUGAAUGAGCCGAUGUCGGAUUAGCUAGUUGGCGGGGUAAAGGCCCACCAAGGCGACGAUCCGUAGCUGGUCUGAGAGGAUGAUCAGCCACACUGGAACUGAGACACGGUCCAGACUCCUACGGGAGGCAGCAGUGGGGAAUAUUGGACAAUGGGCGCAAGCCUGAUCCAGCCAUACCGCGUGGGUGAAGAAGGCCUUCGGGUUGUAAAGCCCUUUUGUUGGGAAAGAAAAGCAGCAGGUUAAUACCCCGCUGUUCUGACGGUACCCAAAGAAUAAGCACCGGCUAACUUCGU